Molecule: ribosomal RNA, 494 nt
Filed under: uncultured bacterium
Lineage: Bacteria
Description: partial 16S ribosomal RNA
Rfam family: Bacterial small subunit ribosomal RNA
Source: RNAcentral
GACGAACGCUGGCGGCGUGCUUAACACAUGCAAGUCGAACGGUGAAGCGCCUUCCUUUUUGGUGGGUGUGGAUGAGUGGCGAACGGGUGAGUAACACGUGAGUAACCUGCCCCCUUCUUCUGGAUAACCGCAUGAAAGUGUUGCUAAUACGGGAUAUUCUGGGUCUGUCGCAUGAUGGGUCUGGGAAAGAUAUUGUUUCGGUGGGGGAUGGGCUCGCGGCCUAUCAGCUUGUUGGUGGGGUGAUGGCCUACCAAGGCGGUGACGGGUAGCCGGCCUGAGAGGGUGGACGGUCACACUGGGACUGAGACACGGCGCAGACUCCUACGGGAGGCAGCAGUGGGGAAUAUUGCACAAUGGGAGCAAGGCUGAUGCAGCGACGCCGCGUGAGGGAUGGAGGCCUUCGGGUUGUGAACCUCUUUCGCCAGUGAAGCAGGCCUGCCUCGUUUGUGGGUGGGUUGACGGUAGCUGGAUAAGAAGCGCCGGCUAACUACGUG